ACGCCAGCCGCAGCAUCCCAUCUGGUCCUACUCCCCAAGAGGCCAAUCCCCAGGGAGCUCAUGUUGCGGGGCUCUGAGCAAGCCUGACCGCUGGCGCUUAUUUGAAAUCAGACCCCGGCCCCGCUUUGCGGUGCCGGGGCUUUUUUU
This 147-nucleotide small RNA is filed under the name Stenotrophomonas panacihumi. RNAcentral describes it as "Proteobacterial sRNA sX11". It matches the Rfam family "Proteobacterial sRNA sX11". Lineage: Bacteria; Pseudomonadati; Pseudomonadota; Gammaproteobacteria; Lysobacterales; Lysobacteraceae. The record is from Rfam by way of RNAcentral.